GGAUCUAAGAUAAUGUCAGUCUCCUCUGCAUGUGACAUCUGUCACCCCAUUGAUGGCCUGGUUUGAUGCAUCUGAUCUGGCUGGCUGGCUGGUAUCCCCGUCUUCCCUCAGGGCUCCAGGUGCUUCCCUUCAGAAACUGUGCUUCCAGUGGAAGAGGACAAUGUUCCCUGAUAGAGAAGGACUAUUCUUGGGUCAAGGGCAUAUGAAUAGCUAUGUUCCCUUGCUAGAACCUCCAAACAAGCUCUCAAGAUCCAUUUGUAGGAGAACAGAGGCUAGUCAAGCUUCCAAGACUCCAGACACAUAUGCUGCAUGUGGCCAUCUGCCUUUCUUA
Molecule: small nuclear RNA, 331 nt
Filed under: Neogale vison (American mink)
Lineage: Eukaryota; Metazoa; Chordata; Mammalia; Carnivora; Mustelidae
Description: Neovison vison (American mink) 7SK RNA (ENSNVIG00000001756.1)
Rfam family: 7SK RNA
About the family: 7SK was discovered as an abundant small nuclear RNA in the mid-70s but a possible function has only recently been suggested. Two independent studies have found that 7SK RNA binds the CDK9/cyclin T complex (known as elongation factor P-TEFb).
Source: RNAcentral